This 253-nucleotide ribosomal RNA is filed under the name uncultured bacterium. RNAcentral's name for it is "partial 16S ribosomal RNA". It matches the Rfam family "Bacterial small subunit ribosomal RNA", at positions 524 to 776 of the family's 1533-position model. The record is from RNAcentral.
UACGGGGGGUGCGAGCGUUGUCCGGAAUCACUGGGCGUAAAGGGCGCGUAGGUGGCCUGAUAAGGGUGUGGUGAAAGUCCGGGGCUCAACCCCGGAUCUGCCGUGCCGACUGUCAGGCUAGAGUGCUGUAGGGGCAGGCGGAAUUCCGGGUGUAGCGGUGGAAUGCGUAGAGAUCCGGAGGAAGACCGGUGGCGAAGGCGGCCUGCUGGGCAGAUACUGACACUGAGGCGCGACAGCGUGGGGAGCAAACAGG